This 448-nucleotide ribosomal RNA is filed under the name uncultured bacterium. RNAcentral's name for it is "partial 16S ribosomal RNA". It matches the Rfam family "Bacterial small subunit ribosomal RNA", at positions 338 to 795 of the family's 1533-position model. The record is from RNAcentral.
CCUACGGGUGGCUGCAGUGGGGAAUUUUGGACAAUGGGGGCAACCCUGAUCCAGCCAUUCCGCGUGAGUGAAGAAGGCCUUCGGGUUGUAAAGCUCUUUCAGCUGGAGUGAAACGGUGCGCUCUAACAUAGCGCGCUAAUGACGGUACCAGCAGAAGAAGCACCGGCUAACUACGUGCCAGCAGCCGCGGUAAUACGUAGGGUGCGAGCGGUGAUCGGCGUUAGUGGGCGUAAAGCUAAGCAAGAUGGGAAAGCCCCGGGCUUAACCUGGGAAUGGCAUUUUGAACUGGCAGUCUAGAGUGCGUCAGAGGGGGGUGGAAUUCCACGUGUAGCAGUGAAAUGCGUAGAGAUGUGGAGGAACACCGAUGGCGAAGGCAGCCCCCUGGGAUGACACUGACGCUCAUGUACGAAAGCGUGGGUAGCAAACAGGAUUAGAUACCCUGGUAGUC